Molecule: long non-coding RNA, 207 nt
Filed under: Mytilus galloprovincialis (Mediterranean mussel)
Lineage: Eukaryota; Metazoa; Mollusca; Bivalvia; Mytilida; Mytilidae
Source: RNAcentral
GGGAUCAUUUAUAUUUUUAGCUUGUAUUCUGUAUGCCGCGGUGACAAAAAAGCAUAUUUUUGGUGUUACAGCUUACUUUGGUGUUAUUGACAGGACGAAAACACUCCACUUAUAAUAGUCAGGAAGGAUCUAUGAAUUUCAAUGACUGCGAAGAGUAAAUAUAAGCACCUCUAAACAAUUUAAUUUACAAAUAUUAUGAAUUUAUUU